GGGAUAGUGGCUCAGCGGUAGAGCGCUUCCUCACACGUGUAAGACACUGGGUUUGAACCUCAGCAUCACA
Molecule: transfer RNA, 70 nt
Filed under: Marmota monax (woodchuck)
Lineage: Eukaryota; Metazoa; Chordata; Mammalia; Rodentia; Sciuridae
Description: tRNA.Val
Source: RNAcentral